AGAGUUUGAUCCUGGCUCAGGACAAACGCUGGCGGUGUGCCUAACACAUGCAAGUCGAACGGAGAAUUCUAAAGAGUUUACUCGGAGGGAUUUUUAGUGGCGGACGGGUGAGUAACGCGUGGGUAACCUACCCAUCAAGUCGGGACAACCCUUGGAAACGAGGGCUAAUACCGGAUAAGCUCGGGAAGUGGCAUCACUGCCCGAGAAAAGGCGGCCUCUGAAGAUGCUGCCGAUGAUGGAUGGACCCGCGUCUGAUUAGCUAGUUGGUGGGGUAAAGGCCUACCAAGGCGACGAUCAGUAGCCGGCCUGAGAGGGUGAACGGCCACACUGGGACUGAGACACGGCCCAGACUCCUACGGGAGGCAGUAGUGGGGAAUCUUCCGCAAUGGACGAAAGUCUGACGGAGCAACGCCGCGUGUAUGAUGAAGGUCUUCGGAUUGU
RNAcentral lists this ribosomal RNA (441 nucleotides) under uncultured bacterium. RNAcentral describes it as "bacterial SSU rRNA". It matches the Rfam family "Bacterial small subunit ribosomal RNA", at positions 8 to 426 of the family's 1533-position model. The record is from RNAcentral.